Molecule: ribosomal RNA, 374 nt
Filed under: uncultured Helicobacter sp.
Lineage: Bacteria; Pseudomonadati; Campylobacterota; Epsilonproteobacteria; Campylobacterales; Helicobacteraceae
Description: bacterial SSU rRNA
Rfam family: Bacterial small subunit ribosomal RNA
Source: RNAcentral
UAUGACGGGUAUCCGGCCUGAGAGGGUGAUCGGACACACUGGAACUGAGACACGGUCCAGACUCCUACGGGAGGCAGCAGUAGGGAAUAUUGCUCAAUGGGCGAAAGCCUGAAGCAGCAACGCCGCGUGGAGGAUGAAGGUUUUAGGAUUGUAAACUCCUUUUGUUAGAGAAGAUUAUGACGGUAUCUAACGAAUAAGCACCGGCUAACUCCGUGCCAGCAGCCGCGGUUUACGGAGGGUGCAAGCGUUACUCGGAAUCACUGGGCGUAAAGAGUGCGUAGGCGGGAAGGUAAGUCAGAUGUGAAAUCCUGUAGCUUAACUACAGAACUGCAUUUGAAACUACUUUUCUAGAGUGUGGGAUAGGUAGGUGGAAU